UACUCAGCAUAUUUGAUAGUAUGCGGUUGAAUAUAGUUAGCAUUAGCUAAUUAAAGAAAGAGUAG
This 65-nucleotide non-coding RNA is filed under the name unclassified sequences. The record is from Rfam.